RNAcentral lists this ribosomal RNA (253 nucleotides) under uncultured bacterium. RNAcentral describes it as "partial 16S ribosomal RNA". It matches the Rfam family "Bacterial small subunit ribosomal RNA", at positions 524 to 776 of the family's 1533-position model. The record is from RNAcentral.
UACGAAGGGGGCUAGCGUUGCUCGGAAUCACUGGGCGUAAAGCGCACGUAGGCGGAUUUUUAAGUCAGGGGUGAAAUCCUGGAGCUCAACUCCAGAACUGCCUUUGAUACUGGGAAUCUCGAGUCCGGGAGAGGUGAGUGGAACUCCGAGUGUAGAGGUGAAAUUCGUAGAUAUUCGGAAGAAUACCAGUGGCGAAGGCGGCUCACUGGCCCGGUACUGACGCUGAGGUGCGAAAGCGUGGGGAGCAAACAGG